UACGAAGGGUGCAAGCGUUACUCGGAAUUACUGGGCGUAAAGCGUGCGUAGGUGGUUCGUUAAGUCUGAUGUGAAAGCCCCGGGCUCAACCUGGGAAUUGCAUUGGAUACUGGCGAGCUCGAGUGCGGUAGAGGAUGGCGGAAUUCCCGGUGUAGCAGUGAAAUGCGUAGAGAUCGGGAGGAACACCAGUUGCGAAGGCGGCUCUCUGGACCAGCACUGACACUGAGGCACGAAAGCGUGGGGAGCAAACAGG
This 253-nucleotide ribosomal RNA is filed under the name uncultured bacterium. RNAcentral's name for it is "partial 16S ribosomal RNA". It matches the Rfam family "Bacterial small subunit ribosomal RNA", at positions 524 to 776 of the family's 1533-position model. The record is from RNAcentral.